AGUGAACGCUGGCGGUAGGCCUAACACAUGCAAGUCGAACGGCAGCACAGUAAGAGCUUGCUCUUACGGGUGGCGAGUGGCGGACGGGUGAGGAAUACAUCGGAAUCUACUUUUUCGUGGGGGAUAACGUAGGGAAACUUACGCUAAUACCGCAUACGACCUACGGGUGAAAGCAGGGGAUCUUCGGACCUUGCGCGAUUGAAUGAGCCGAUGUCGGAUUAGCUAGUUGGCGGGGUAAAGGCCCACCAAGGCGACGAUCCGUAGCUGGUCUGAGAGGAUGAUCAGCCACACUGGAACUGAGACACGGUCCAGACUCCUACGGGAGGCAGCAGUGGGGAAUAUUGGACAAUGGGCGCAAGCCUGAUCCAGCCAUACCGCGUGGGUGAAGAAGGCCUUCGGGUUGUAAAGCCCUUUUGUUGGGAAAGAAAAGCAGCAGGUUAACACCCCGCUGUUCUGACGGUACCCAAAGAAUAAGCACCGGCCAACUUCGUG
RNAcentral lists this ribosomal RNA (492 nucleotides) under uncultured bacterium. RNAcentral describes it as "partial 16S ribosomal RNA". It matches the Rfam family "Bacterial small subunit ribosomal RNA", at positions 29 to 507 of the family's 1533-position model. The record is from RNAcentral.